UACGUAGGGUGCGAGCGUUGUCCGGAAUUAUUGGGCGUAAAGGGCUCGUAGGCGGUUUGUCGCGUCGGAAGUGAAAACACGGGGCUUAACUCUGUGCUUGCUUUCGAUACGGGCAGACUAGAGGGAUGCAGGGGAGAACGGAAUUCCCGGUGUAGAGGUGAAAUUCGUAGAUAUCGGAAGGAACACCAGUGGCGAAGGCGGCCAUCUGGACGGUGACUGACGCUGAGACGCGAAAGCGUGGGGAGCAAACAGG
This 253-nucleotide ribosomal RNA is filed under the name uncultured bacterium. RNAcentral's name for it is "partial 16S ribosomal RNA". It matches the Rfam family "Bacterial small subunit ribosomal RNA", at positions 524 to 776 of the family's 1533-position model. The record is from RNAcentral.